RNAcentral lists this transfer RNA (68 nucleotides) under Crocidura lasiura. RNAcentral describes it as "tRNA-Asp". It matches the Rfam family "tRNA". Rfam says of the family: Transfer RNA (tRNA) molecules are approximately 80 nucleotides in length. Their secondary structure includes four short double-helical elements and three loops (D, anti-codon, and T loops). Lineage: Eukaryota; Metazoa; Chordata; Mammalia; Eulipotyphla; Soricidae. The record is from RNAcentral.
GAGAUAUUAGUAUAACAAUACAUAACUUUGUCAAGGUUAAGUUACAGGUGAAACUCCCGUAUAUCUCU